Molecule: ribosomal RNA, 497 nt
Filed under: uncultured bacterium
Lineage: Bacteria
Description: partial 16S ribosomal RNA
Rfam family: Bacterial small subunit ribosomal RNA
Source: RNAcentral
GAUGAACGCUGGCGGCGUGCCUAAUACAUGCAAGUCGAGCGAACAGACGGGGAGCUUGCUCCUCUGACGUUAGCGGCGGACGGGUGAGUAACACGUGGAUAACCUACCUAUAAGACUGGGAUAACUUCGGGAAACCGGAGCUAAUACCGGAUAACAUGUUGAACCGCAUGGUUCAACAGUGAAAGACGGUCUUGCUGUCGCUUAUAGAUGGAUCCGCGCCGCAUUAGCUAGUUGGUAAGGUAACGGCUUACCAAGGCAACGAUGCGUAGCCGACCUGAGAGGGUGAUCGGCCACACUGGAACUGAGACACGGUCCAGACUCCUACGGGAGGCAGCAGUAGGGAAUCUUCCGCAAUGGGCGAAAGCCUGACGGAGCAACGCCGCGUGAGUGAAGAAGGUCUUCGGAUCGUAAAACUCUGUUAUUAGGGAAGAACAAAUGUGUAAGUAACUAUGCACGUCUUGACGGUACCUAAUCAGAAAGCCACGGCUAACUACGUG